Molecule: long non-coding RNA, 981 nt
Organism: Dreissena polymorpha
Lineage: Eukaryota; Metazoa; Mollusca; Bivalvia; Myida; Dreissenidae
Exons: 2
Source: RefSeq, a predicted model, not a curated record
UUUAAAGUUUACCGCCUUUUUGCGAAUACAAUGACGUUUACAUAUGAAUUGCCCAAUGAAAAUUUCGGCGGGAUGACGUCAGGCGCCAAAACUGGCGCGUGGUUUUUCCCGGUAUAGACCCAGUGUGUCAACGCUGUAAAUGCAUUGUGGGAAACGGACUAUUUCCAGCAUGGCGCCCGUAAAGAUUAUGAACACGGAAGUAAAAAUAGUAAUAAAUUAUUAUCAAAAACAGGCCUCAUCAAACCGGGUCAGCCAUGAUAUAUUCUUGGAUGCAGUUUGUGCUUCAAAAGGAGCUACUUUUCAUGCCAGCCUAUCGAUACUAUGUGGGAACUGGGAUUCGGGAUGCUCUCCCACUGGUAUCAUAUGCAGAUCAGUGGUCACAAGAACGUACACAACAUCAUUAAUGUCAGCAAUAUAUAUCUCCAACUUCAAACACACAGCUUGCAAAAUCGCUGAAUAUUGCACAAAAGCAGCUUCGUUACAAACUUCCAGCAACUCGAAAUCCACAAGCAGUCUCGUUCCCCACCCACUUUGACUUCGUAGCGAAGGCAUGUUUUUUUUGGGAAACCGUUAACAUCUCACAACUAAACGUAUACUACGGAGAUUGACAAGUUGAAAAAUAAAUUACUGUAAUCACUUCCAAUUUGCGCACUAAGUUAAACUCCAGUUCCAGUUUGUCUUUAUUGUUGAAAUGUUACUCUACACAUUCGCUUUGAAAAUAGAGGUUGGCGUGUUGUUGGAAGUACAUGUACAUGUCGAAUGUGUUAUUGUAAAAACUAUUGGUAUUGUGUUUUUAGUGCAGACAUUGUAUUUAAGUUUCGAUUUCUAGCAUAAAUUUAUAUAUUUUGUUAAAUAAUUUGCGUUUGAAUGUGAUUGUUUGUUGCUUACUUGCGAACUAUUUUUUAUGUGUAAAUAUGCAUAGACGCUAGUGGAUAUGUAAUCAGGUUACCAUAUUUACAACAAUAAAAUUUAACGGCUGUU